CUUCAAAGCCUUGGCCGUUGCCGUGGUAACGCGGUCGCUGCAACAGCGGUGCCAUGUCUUAGAGUUGGCUCUCCUGGAGAUGAGAUGGACUCGUCCUCUGAACUCUACCAACUCAUCGGACUUCUGAGGAAAUGAGAUUUUAUGACUUUAAGACGCCAUGUUUGAACCCGGAGGAUCGGAUCUCUUUGGUCAAGCAGCACCAGCUUCACCUUUUGGAGAAAUCCUCCUCUGUUCUCUCCUCAAGGGGUCUGACCUUUCUCACCUGAAGGGUUGUUUGGGAGUUGUUCCUGAUCCCAUGUGAGGUCAAAGGUCAGGGAUGUCUAUGUGUACAGAUUGUAAAGCAAUCUGAGGCACAUUAGUAAUUUGUGAAAAUGGGCUCUACAAAUAAACUGAAUUGAAUUGAA
Long non-coding RNA from Pseudoliparis swirei, 404 nucleotides. RefSeq lists it as uncharacterized. NCBI's taxonomy places the organism in Eukaryota, Metazoa, Chordata, Actinopteri, Perciformes, Liparidae. The transcript has 2 exons. The record is from RefSeq and is a predicted model, not a curated record.